GUUUGAUCCUGGCUCGAAUGAACGCUGGCGGCAGGCCUAACACAUGCAAGUCGAACGGAGUUAUAUUGUAGCUUGCUAUGGUAUAACUUAGUGGCAGACGGGUGAGUAAUGUAUAGGAAUCUACCUAGUAGUACGGAAUAAUUGUUGGAAACGGCAACUAAUACCGUAUACGCCCUACGGGGGAAAAAUUUAUUGCUAUUAGAUGAGCCUAUAUUAGAUUAGCUAGUUGGUGGAGUAAUAGCCUACCAAGGCAAUGAUCUAUAGCUGAUCUGAGAGGAUGAUCAGCCACACUGGAACUGAGAUACGGUCCAGACUCCUACGGGAGGCAGCAGUGGGGAAUAUUGGACAAUGGGCGAAAGCCUGAUCCAGCCAUGCCGCAUGAGUGAAGAAGGCCUUUGGGUUGUAAAGCUCUUUUAGUGAGGAAGAUAAUGACGGUACUCACAGAAGAAGUCCUGGCUAACUCCGUGCCAGCAGCCGCGGUAAUACGGAGAGGGCUAGCGUUAUUCGGAAUUAUUGGGCGUAAAGGGCGCGUAAGCGGAUUAGUAAGUUAAAAGUGAAAUCCCAAGGCUCAACCUUGGAAUUGCUUUUAAAACUGCUAAUCUAGAGAUUGAAAGAGGAUAGAGGAAUUCCUAGUGUAGAGGUGAAAUUCGUAAAUAUUAGGAGGAACACCAGUGGCGAAGGCGUCUAUCUGGUUCAAAUCUGACGCUGAGGCGCGAAGGCGUGGGGAGCAAACAGGAUUAGAUACCCUGGUAGUCCACGCUGUAAACGAUGAAUGUUAAAUAUGGGAAGUUUUACUUUCUGUAUUACAGCUAACGCGUUAAACAUUCCGCCUG
RNAcentral lists this ribosomal RNA (833 nucleotides) under uncultured bacterium. RNAcentral's name for it is "bacterial SSU rRNA". It matches the Rfam family "Bacterial small subunit ribosomal RNA", at positions 11 to 875 of the family's 1533-position model. The record is from RNAcentral.